RNAcentral lists this ribosomal RNA (491 nucleotides) under uncultured bacterium. RNAcentral's name for it is "partial 16S ribosomal RNA". It matches the Rfam family "Bacterial small subunit ribosomal RNA", at positions 29 to 507 of the family's 1533-position model. The record is from RNAcentral.
GUGAACGCUGGCGGUAGGCCUAACACAUGCAAGUCGAACGGCAGCACAGUAAGAGCUUGCUCUUACGGGUGGCGAGUGGCGGACGGGUGAGGAAUACAUCGGAAUCUACUUUUUCGUGGGGGAUAACGUAGGGAAACUUACGCUAAUACCGCAUACGACCUACGGGUGAAAGCCGGGGAUCUUCGGACCUUGCGCGAUUGCAUGAGCCGAUGUCGGAUUAGCUAGUUGGCGGGGUAAAGGCCCACCAAGGCGACGAUCCGUAGCUGGUCUGAGAGGAUGAUCAGCCACACUGGAACUGAGACACGGUCCAGACUCCUACGGGAGGCAGCAGUGGGGAAUAUUGGACAAUGGGCGCAAGCCUGAUCCAGCCAUACCGCGUGGGUGAAGAAGGCCUUCGGGUUGUAAAGCCCUUUUGUUGGGAAAGAAAAGCAGCAGGUUAAUACCCCGCUGUUCUGACGGUACCCAAAGAAUAAGCACCGGCUAACUUCGUG